AAAAGGAGGCGAGAGAAUGGGAGGGAAACAAAGGGGAAGAGCGAGACAGAGAUUGAGAUCAGAAGAGAGAUAAAGCAGGGUUUUGUGAGUCUCCUUUCCCAAAACCCUAGCCCCGUCUCCGCCUCGAUCCACCGCCGUUGCCGCGCUUUCCCGGCUGGAUCUGGCGAUCUCCGGUGGGCUCCGGUUCCUGGAUCGACAGACUCGAGUUCAGAAGGAAGUGAUUUUGGCGGAGAUCUUUUGGUUUCUAUAAGUCCUCCUUUCCUUGGACCUCUCUCUGUUCCGAGAUUUUGAGAGUUGAGAUGGUUGGUCGAUUAGGGUUUCGCAGUGUAGGGUUUUGAAUUGUUGAGAUCUACUGCUGCUUCGGGGAUGGAGGACAUGAAGCCAUCGAUUGCUUCACUCGCAGAUGACGACGGCACUAUGGAAGCUCGGUUUGCUGAUCUCUGCAAGAGCAAGCUGAGUCUCGAUGAGAGCACGUUGAGGCAGGCAAUGGUUUUAUUCAGGGAAAGUAGGCACGUUCUCGUGGCAAAUAUGUCGGCAAUUGGAAGUGGAUUGCCUGAGGAGAUCGAGAGGUUAUGGUCUGCAUUCAUUCUGUACUGUGUCACAAAGCUGAGCAAGGCGAGAUCUAAGCAAGAGAAGGAAGAAAAUAGUGUUUCGCUCUGUCAGAUAUUGAGAGCAUUUAAGCUGAAUGUUGUGGAGUUCUUUAAAGAAAUGCCACAGUUUUGUCUCAAGGCUGGUUACAUUCUAAGUGGUUUAUAUGGUUCGGAAUGGGAGAAAAAGCUUGAGCUAAAGGAGUUACAAGCAAACAUCGUUCACUUGAGUCUUCUAAGCAGGUACUAUAAACGGGCAUACGAGGAACUGUUCUUGCAAAAUGAUGCAAAAUGCAGUCAGGAUUCAGCAGUGUCUUGUGCUAAGGAUUAUGAUUCUGACUACCAUCGAUUUGGAUGGUUGUUAUUUCUAGCUCUCCGCAUCCAUGCAUUCAGUCGCUUCAAGGAUCUAGUGACUUGUACUAAUGGAUUAGUUUCCAUACUGGCUGUACUUAUCCUUCAUGUUCCUGUCCGCUUUAGGAAAUUCGUUGUUCAAGAUUCCCCAAUUUUUGCUAAAAAAUCAGCCAAGGGCGUCAACCUUCUAGCUUCUCUCUGUGACAAAUAUGAUGCGUCGGAGGACGAAUUAAGAAGAGUGAUGGAAAUGGUAAAUAGCUUGAUAGUGAAUAUUUUGAAGAAAAAUCCAUGCUCACUUUUGGAUGGCAAAAAGGAAAAUCUAGCUCACAUUGACACAGAUGGUCUGACAUAUUUUGAAGAUCUCAUGGAGGAAAAAUCAUUACAGUCAAGUAUAGUUAUCUUGGAGAAAGAUUAUGAUGAUGCAAUUCUUAAAGGUGAACUAGAUGAGCGUAUGUUUGUUAACGAUGAUGACAGUCUUCUUGGCAGUGGAAGUUUGUCUGGAGGUGCUGUUAACAUUUGUGGAACAAAGCGGAAGUAUGAUGCGAUAACUUCCCCAGCAAAGUCUAUCACAAGUCCAAUGUCUCCACCAUGUUCUCCUGGAUCACCAUUAAAAGGAGGUCUUAUUGGGAUCUUUAAGAUAGCUCCCGCUACACCAGUUAGCACUGCAAUGACAACUGCAAAAUGGCUUCGAAGCAUUAUAUCUCCUCUUCCUUCAAGGCCUUCAUCAGAGCUUCUCCGAUUCCUUUCAUCUUGUGACAGAGAUGUAACCAGUGAUGUCAUUCAAAGGGCCAGCAUAAUACUUGGAGCCAUUUUUCCAUGCACCUCUUUUGGGGAGCGGUGUGUUUCGGUAAGUAUGCAAAAUGCUGCUCGGAUGGAUAGUAUUUGGGCUGAGCAGAGAAAGUCAGAGGCACUUAAGUUAUACUACAGGGUUUUGGAGGCAAUGUGUAGAGCAGAGUCUCAGAUACUGAAUGGAAAUAACCUUACUUCUUUGUUAUCAAAUGAACGGUUUCAUCGCUGCAUGCUUGCUUGUUCAGCUGAACUGGUUUUGACUACACAUAAAACAGUUACUUUGAUGUUUCCUGCUGUUCUCGAGAGAACUGGCAUAACUGCUUUCGAUUUGAGCAAGGUCAUAGAAAGUUUUGUUCGUCAUGAAGAAACUCUUCCACGUGAGUUAAAAAGACAUUUAAAUUCAUUGGAAGAGAGGCUAUUAGAAAGCAUGGCAUGGGAAAAAGGUUCAUCAAUGUACAAUACCUUGAUAGUAGCAAGACCAACUCUCUCUGCAGAAAUAAAUCAUUUAGGACUGUUAGCAGAACCAAUGCCCUCUCUUGAUGCUAUUGCUGGAAGCUAUAAUGUUUCUGCUGCAGGCUUGCCUCUGCCUUUUCAAAAGCAGGAACAUUCACCAGAUCAAAAUGGAGAUACCAUAUCUCCUAAGAAAGCAUGCAAUGACUAUCGAAAUGUGUUAGUGGAGCGCAAUUUCCUAGCAUCACCAGUUAAGGAUCGUGCAUUUAACAGUCCUAAAUCUAAAUUACCUCCUCUUCAGUCUGCUUUUGCCAGUCCUACCAGGCCUAGUCCCACAGGAGGAGGGGAAACUUGUGCUGAAACAGGAACCAACAUUUUCUUUAAUAAGAUUGUGAAACUGGCAGCUAUCAGAAUCAAAAGCUUGAGCGAAAGACUUCAGCUAUCUCAGCAAAUAUUGGAGCGUGUGUAUUGUCUCAUUCAACAGAUUCUCACUCAUAGAACUGCUCUUUUUUUCAAUCGACAUAUCGAUCAGUUAAUCCUUUGUAGCUUUUAUGGGGUUGCUAAGAUUUCUCAACUCAGCCUAACAUUCAAGGAGAUCAUUUAUAACUACAGAAAGCAACCUCAAUGUAAACCUCAAGUUUUUCGCAGUGUUUUUGUUCACUGGCCAUCGACAAGCCGAAAUGGAAAAACAGGAGAGGAGCAUGUUGAUAUCAUUACCUUUUACAAUGAGGUAUUCAUUCCCUCGGUUAAGCCCUUAUUGGUGGAAUUAGGACCUGGUGGUGUGAAUAAUAGAAGUAACCGAUCUCCUGAAGACAAGAUUAGUUCUGACUGCCAAAUUCCAGGAUCACCUAGGAUACCGCCAUUUCCAAAUCUUCCAGACAUGUCUCCAAAGAAAGUUUCUGCUGUUCAUAAUGUUUAUGUUUCUCCUCUGCGAUCAACAAAGAUGGAUACAUUGCUUUCACCAAGCUCCAAGAGUUACUAUGCAUGUGUUGGUGAAAGCACUCAUGCUUAUCAGAGCCCCUCAAAAGAUCUGUCAGCCAUCAAUAACCGUCUAAAUGGUGGAAGGAAGGUCAGUGGCAGGCUUAAUUUUGAUGUGGUGAGUGAUUUUGUCGUAGCUGGUACUCUCCAGGAUGGCAAUUCUGCCUCUUCAAGCACUGCUGCUCCUACCACAAGUGUUGUUGCAAAAGCUGAGCAACCUGAACCCUAAUUGCUCAAUGGUAAAUGAAUCCUGUUGAUUUUGAAAAGCUCGGAAUUGCUUCAUCUGUGGGCUCUACAAACUAGAACAUAUUAGAUUUGAACCUGGAUUUGCUAUAGAAAUCCCGAGUACCCAGUCUUGUUCGAAGGAUGCAUGAACCCAUUUAAUAGUAAUUGCCAGCCACUAGAUGUACAGUUGUUCCUGUAUCAGUCGUUGGAUUGACAGUGAGAUUGUACUGAGAUGAUAGCUUGGCCAAUCGAGCCGCUACAUCUAUACACUAAGCUAUGCAUUUCAUUAUUAUAUUCUUAUCGUUGCUGUUA
Molecule: RNA transcript, 3692 nt
Organism: Musa acuminata AAA Group (dessert banana)
Lineage: Eukaryota; Viridiplantae; Streptophyta; Magnoliopsida; Zingiberales; Musaceae
Gene name: retinoblastoma-related protein
Exons: 20
Source: RefSeq, a predicted model, not a curated record